CAGGACGAACGCUGGCGGCACGCCUAACACAUGCAAGUCGAACGGAGUUAGCAAGAAGUUUACUUGAGCUAACUUAGUGGCGGACGGGUGAGUAACACGUGAGUAACCUGCCUUUCAGUGGGGAAUAACGGCUGGAAGCGGUCGCUAAUACCGCAUAAUGUCUUGGAGUCGCAUGACCCUGAGACCAAAGAUUUAUCGCUGAAAGAUGGACUCGCGCCCGAUUAGCUAGUUGGUGAGGUAAUGGCUCACCAAGGCGACGAUCGGUAGCCGGACUGAGAGGUUGAACGGCCACAUUGGGACUGAGACACGGCCCAGACUCCUACGGGAGGCAGCAGUGGGGGAUAUUGCACAAUGGGGGAAACCCUGAUGCAGCGAAUGCCGCGUGUAGGAAGACGGUCCUCUGGAUUGUAAACUACUGUCUUCAGGGACGAUAAUGACGGUACCUGAGGAGGAAGCUCCGGCUAACUACGUGCCAGCAGCUGC
RNAcentral lists this ribosomal RNA (483 nucleotides) under uncultured bacterium. Its description in RNAcentral is "bacterial SSU rRNA". It matches the Rfam family "Bacterial small subunit ribosomal RNA", at positions 25 to 518 of the family's 1533-position model. The record is from RNAcentral.